GUGUGCUUGUGUGUGUCUGUGUAAAGACAUUAGAAACAUACCAGCACUGAGUCCUGUGAUUGAACAGGAGGAACGUAUCACCCAAGGCCUCUAUUCCAAACCUACUAGGAUACAGAAUGAAGUAGGCCAGGAACCUUAUGAAAGGCCCUAUUAAAAAAAAAAAAUAGGGAUGAAAUCACAGACUGAGGAAUAUACAAGGAGAGCUUGACAAAAGAAUCAGGAGAAAUGUCAGAGUCAGCAUGUACUUUGCUGCAACAACAUCACAUAGGGUUCAUUUUAACCAAUGCCACUUCCCUGCAGGCUUUUGUGCUCUGAGAUGGAGAACAGGAUCGGGGCAUUCCAAUUAUCUAGAUAUGCUUUGACUUACUUUCCUACUUACACCAGCCAUUGAUGAAUCUAAAUCCAAAUGAAGAAGAUUCAAAUUCUAGAAUCAUUUAGCAGGACAUUUUACCUAGAAAUAGAAGGAAAAAUAUCAUCCCUACGACUUUGUAUGACUUUGUAAGUACAGAAAAAAAAACUGAGUUGUAUCUCCCACAAAUCACAUUGUGGAAUUUUUACUGUAUCGAAAGAUUGUUGAAAUUGAUCUUGAAGAUGGUGCCUUUCAUUUCUGUGGAAUUGAUGCACCACCAGACCAAAGGGAUGCGCAACCAGAAUGGGAGCCGAUGAUGAAUUCUAGCUGGAUGCUAAGCUCAGCCAUGGCACAGAGUCUGAGGCAAAUGAAGCACAAAGCAGAGUGCUCUUUUGAGAUUUACCCUUUGACCUUUGAAGGAGAAGAAGAGAAACUAACAAAUGACAUUUUUUAAAUUUUUUAUUUUUUGAGAUGGAGUCUCUCUCUGUCGCCCAGGCUGGAGUACAAUGGCAUGAUCUCGGCUCACUGCAACCUCACCUCCCUGGGUUCAAGCAAUUCUCCUGCCUCAGCCUCCGGAGUAGCUGGGAUUACAGGUGCCGGCCAUCACACCCAGCUAAUUUUUGUAUUUUUAGUAGAGACAGGGUUUCGCCAUGUUUGCCAGGCUGGUCUCCAACUCCUGACCUUAAGUAAUCCACCGCCUCAGCCUCCCAAAGUGCAGGAAUUACAGGCAUGAGCCACUGCCCCCCAGCCCAAAUGACAUUUAAGGUUAGAUUGGAGCUGAGAGUUUGAACAAACUUCAAAUCUCAGAAUAACAGCAAAAUUUCAGUCACAUUAUGUGGAUUCAGUCACAUUGUGAUCAAAACAGAAGAAAAAGGGUUAACUAUCUACUUGAAGAAAAAAGAUCUUCAUGUAGAGGGAAACAGAGACCAAGAGGAGAUAAAUUGGUUUAAGGAUAUGUCAAUACCUUUUCUUUGAAUGACAAGAAGCUUUUGAUACUACUCUUUCCUCUUGGAAAUUAUCCAAAAAAAUAAUGUUUACUAUUUUCUAGACUGAAGUUUAAGACUUGGUUGGGUUUUAAGGUCUCUAAAGCUAAUAUACAUUUCUUGUUCAUUCAUUUAUUCACCAAAUGGAAAUCUUUAGUUUGCUGCUCUUCUUCUGGGCAAAACUCAAAGUUUUUUCUUUAAUACACAUAUUCUCUUUGGCACACAUAAUUAGGUGGCAUGGAUGGGCUUCACUACCACCCCUGAUGCUAACAGUGCCCUUUAAGAAGCAGCUAUUCAGCCUCCUGGAAAUAGGAUUUUCCUCUUUCUUCCAUGGUAGCAAGUAGAAGAUUUUCUUUCUUCCCUUGAUGGUGUGAUAUGAAGAUAUGGAGCCUGGAACAACUAAACCCAUUAUGCUGCCAAGAGAAGACACCUGGGCCUUGGUGGGUUUGAACCACUGAAUUAAGUCUUCACCAAAAUCAGAACAUCUUCUGGACUUUUAAGUUCCAUGAGUUAAUAAACCCUCUUUAUUGGUUAAGCCUUUUUGGUUCAGGUUUUUUGAGUCAUUUGUUUUCAAGAAUCUUUGCAGAGUCAAAAUAACAUUGUGCCAGUUUCUAGAACUAAGACAGUUAAGACUAUCCUAUGCUUUUAAGAGGCUUCCUUUGUGAUGCAAAUAUGACCUCUGAGCAAGUAAGAGACUGAAGUACUAGAAAAAAAACGUCUGAAUUCAAUUUUUAAAAAGGACAAUUAUAAGAAAGAAAAGGAAGAAACAUUUUGUCAGGGGGCCCGGAUAUAGGAACAGAUAACAAAAGAUUGUUCCACCUGCCUGCCUAGGAGAAACAACAAACCAAAAAGUCAUCUGAAAAUCUGCAACUUUUGAUCUAAAUGCAAAUCAAACCAGUUUCUGUGAAAAGCACUUAAACAUCCAGAAGGCUUGUUGUGCAGAACUGAGAAUUUGGGGAUUGCCCACAGCCUUGAAAAGUACAGAACAUGUUCUUUCCUCCAACAAAUAAUUGGGAACAAGAAGUCUGUCUGGAAUUAAUUCAAUUGGUGUCAAGGGUGAGUUACAAAACCAUCAACAUCUAAGAAAUCAACUGUGUUAUCUUUAUCCUGUGUUUUUAUCCAUAUGAAUAAUUUAAACUAUUAUAAAUAGCAGAUUGAUUGUAUUUUCAGAUCAUAGCUAUAUUUAAUUACAUCUUCUGUCACAUAAAAAAUGGCUAAGAUUUUUAACCUUUCUUUUUCAAGAGUAAAGGCAGCUCCCUGGCAUGACCAGGAAUGGGCCUUUUGUUGAACACAAAAUUGAGAUUUAUGGUGCUGGGUUAUAUAAAGAAAAAGGAAAAUAAAUGUAUUUGUCUUGUGACUAUAAAGAAUGAUUUCUUGUAGAUUUAGCUUUGGACUUCUACAUACAAAAGAGGGAUGUGUGAUGUGGCACAGUAAGACUAAAUCCUAAUGUGUACAAGUCACCUGGAUAUUGUGUUGAAAUGCAGAUGCAGACUUAGGAGAUCUGAGGGAGGGCCUUAGAUCUGCAUUUCCGGUAAGAUCCCCAUUGAUGCUAAUGCAUUUGGGCCUACUGGCCACACUUUAAGAAGCAAGAGUAUAGAAGAAAGAACUAAGGUAUAUAGUAUUCAAGAAGUCUGGCUUUAGUUCCAGUUUCAUCACUAAUUAGCCAUGAGACCUCACCAAUAUCACUUAAAUAUAUUCCUCAUGUAUAAGAUGAUGGGGCUGGACUUAGUCAUCUCAAAAUUCCUGACACAAGAACUGGGAGUGAUGACGUGUGCCUGUAAUUCCAUCUACUCAGGAGGCUGAGGCAGGAGGAUUACUUUCUUUCUUUCUUUUUGAGACUGAGUCUCACUCUUUCGCCCAGGCUGAAGUGCAGUGGUGUGAUCUCGGCUCACUGCAAACUCCACCUCCCCAGUUCAAACAAUUCUCCUGCCCCAGCAUCCUGAAUAGCUGGGACUACAGGUGCCCACCACCACACCUGGC
This 3312-nucleotide long non-coding RNA is filed under the name Homo sapiens (human). RNAcentral's name for it is "HSALNT0096992". The record is from RNAcentral. Lineage: Eukaryota; Metazoa; Chordata; Mammalia; Primates; Hominidae.